RNAcentral lists this ribosomal RNA (492 nucleotides) under uncultured bacterium. RNAcentral's name for it is "partial 16S ribosomal RNA". It matches the Rfam family "Bacterial small subunit ribosomal RNA", at positions 29 to 507 of the family's 1533-position model. The record is from RNAcentral.
AGUGAACGCUGGCGGUAGGCCUAACACAUGCAAGUCGAACGGCAGCACAGUAAUAGCUUGCUCUUACGGGUGGCGAGUGGCGGACGGGUGAGGAAUACAUCGUAAUCUACUUUUUCGUGGGGGAUAACGUAGGGAAACUUACGCUAAUACCGCAUACGACCUACGGGUGACAGCAGGGGAUCUUCGGACCUUGCGCGAUUGAAUGAGCCGAUGUCGGAUUAGCUAGUUGGCGGGGUAAAGGCCCACCAAGGCGACGAUCCGUAGCUGGUCUGAGAGGAUGAUCAGCCACACUGGAACUGAGACACGGUCCAGACUCCUACGGGAGGCAGCAGUGGGGAAUAUUGGACAAUGGGCGCAAGCCUGAUCCAGCCAUACCGCGUGGGUGAAGAAGGCCUUCGGGUUGUAAAGCCCUUUUGCUGGGAAAGAAAAGCAGCAGGUUAAUACCCCGCUGUUCUGACGGUACCCAAAGAAUAAGCACCGGCUAACUUCGUG